UGAGUAAACCAGACGGCAGCGCGUUUUUUGACGUGAGGAAAGUCCGGGCUUCACAGGGCAAGGGUAGCUGAUAACGUCAGCCGAGGGCGACCUUAGGGAAAGUGCAACAGAAAAUUACCGCCUGCUUGCAGGUAAGGAUGAAAAGGCGAGGUAAGAGCUCACCAGCAUGGUGGAGACAUCAUGGCUGUGUAAACCCUACCCGAAGCAACACCCGACAGUAAAGCAUAUGCGCCCUGCAGCUUUCAGGAGGUGGCUAGAGCUACAAGGCAACUUGUAGUCGAGAUAGAUUGUCGUCUAAUACAGAACCCGGCUUACGGUUUGCUCAUUUU
This 329-nucleotide RNase P RNA is filed under the name Oscillospiraceae bacterium. RNAcentral describes it as "RNase P RNA component class A". It matches the Rfam family "Bacterial RNase P class A". Rfam says of the family: Ribonuclease P (RNase P) is a ubiquitous endoribonuclease, found in archaea, bacteria and eukarya as well as chloroplasts and mitochondria. Its best characterised activity is the generation of mature 5'-ends of tRNAs by cleaving the 5'-leader elements of precursor-tRNAs. Cellular RNase Ps are ribonucleoproteins. Lineage: Bacteria; Bacillati; Bacillota; Clostridia; Eubacteriales; Oscillospiraceae. The record is from RNAcentral.